This 1219-nucleotide ribosomal RNA is filed under the name metagenome. RNAcentral's name for it is "bacterial SSU rRNA". It matches the Rfam family "Bacterial small subunit ribosomal RNA", at positions 8 to 1215 of the family's 1533-position model. The record is from RNAcentral.
AGAGUUUGAUCCUGGCUCAGUACGAACGCUGGCGGCACGCCUCAUACAUGCAAGUCGAGCGCGAAACCACCUUCGGGUGAUGUAGAGCGGCGAACGGGUGAGUAACAGGUGGAUAAUCUGCCCUUUGGCGGGGGACAACAGCUGGAAACGGCUGCUAAUACCGCAUGUGAUUGUGGGUUUAUGGCCUGCAAGGAAAGGCGCCUCAAAGCGCCACCAAAGGAUGAGUCCGCCCCCCAUUAGCUAGUUGGUGAGAUAAUAGCUCACCAAGGCUUCGAUGGGUAGCCGAGCUGAGAGGUUGAUCGGCCACACUGGAACUGAGACACGGUCCAGACACCUACGGGUGGCAGCAGUAGGGAAUAUUGCGCAAUGGGCGAAAGCCUGACGCAGCGAUGCCGCGUGAGUGACGAAGGUCUUAGGAUUGUAAAGCUCUUUUCUGAGGGAAGAAUAGGUCUGGUAGGAAAUGAUCGGAUUCUGACGGUACCUCAGGAAUAAGGAACGGCUAACUCCGUGCCAGCAGCCGCGGUAAUACGGAGGUUCCAAGCGUUGUUCGGAAUUACUGGGCGUAAAGGGAGCGCAGGCGGGCAGGUCAGUUUAAAGUGGAAUCCCAGGGCUCAACCCUGGACGUGCCUUGGAUACUGCCUGUCUUGAGUUCGUGAGAGGAAAGUGGAAUUCAGGGUGUAGCGGUGAAAUGCUUAGAUAUCCUGAGGAACACCAGUGGCGAAAGCGACUUUCUGGCACGAAACUGACGCUGAGGCUCGAAAGCAUGGGUAGCGAACGGGAUUAGAUACCCCGGUAGUCCAUGCCGUAAACGUUGUAUACUAGGUGCGGGAGGUAUCGACCCCUUCCGUGCCGAAGCUAACGCAUUAAGUAUACCGCCUGGGGAGUACGCGCGCAAGCGUGAAACUCAAAGGAAUUGACGGGGGCCCGCACAAGCGGUGGAGCAUGUGGUUUAAUUCGAGGCAACGCGAAGAACCUUACCCAGGCUUGACAUCCCAAGACCGCUCAUGAAAGUGAGUUUUCCCUUCGGGGACUUGGAGACAGGUGUUGCAUGGCUGUCGUCAGCUCGUGUCGUGAGAUGUUGGGUUAAGUCCCGCAACGAGCGCAACCCCUGUCCUUAGUUACCAGCACGUAAUGGUGGGCACUCUAAGGAGACUGACGGUGAUAAACCGGACGAAGGUGGGGACGACGUCAAGUCAUCAUGGCCCUUACGCCUGGGGCU